Molecule: long non-coding RNA, 208 nt
Organism: Fukomys damarensis (Damara mole-rat)
Lineage: Eukaryota; Metazoa; Chordata; Mammalia; Rodentia; Bathyergidae
Exons: 3
Source: RefSeq, a predicted model, not a curated record
CGCAGAGCCAAGCCCUGAGCCUCUGUCCUGAGCUGACGUUCCUUGGCAAGACUAAACAAGGAAGGAGCUCAUCACCAGCACCCAGAAGCCCCCACGAGCCCUUUCCCAACCAUCCUCUACCAUCUCAUCAAUGAAAGGAAUUUCUGCUUUAGGGCCUCAGAACCAUCUUUUGAGUCCUCUCCAUCUGCCUUGCUGACAUGAGAGGGAA